UUUAAAUAGCUGCAGUAUUUUAACUGUACAAAGGUAGCGUAGUAAUUAGUCUUUUAAUUGAGGUCUAGAAUGAAUGGUUUAACAAGAAAUUAGCUUUAUUAAUUCAAUUAAAUUAAUUUUAUUUUUUAGUUAAAAAGCUAAAAUUUAAAAAUGGGACGAUAAGACCCUAUAGAUCUUCAAAUUUUUAAUUUAUAGAGCUGUUUAGGUUUAAUUUUAUUUUAUUUUUAUAAAUUUUUUGUUGGGGUGACAAAUAAAUUUUUAAAACUUUAAUAUUUUAACACAUAAAUUUAUGGAUUAAUAUGAACCUAAUCUAAGGUGUAGUAAAAUAAGAUACCUUAGGGAUAACAGCGUAAUAGAUUUGUAUAGUUCUUAUAGAUAAAUUUGUUUACGACCUCGAUGUUGAAUUAAUCUAAAGUUUUGGGGCAGAAAUUAAAAUUUUGGGUCUGUUCGACCCUUAAAUGGUUACA
RNAcentral lists this ribosomal RNA (467 nucleotides) under Struebingianella detecta. Its description in RNAcentral is "partial 16S ribosomal RNA". The stretch from base 341 to 467 matches the Rfam family "Bacterial large subunit ribosomal RNA", at positions 2473 to 2600 of the family's 2925-position model. Lineage: Eukaryota; Metazoa; Arthropoda; Insecta; Hemiptera; Delphacidae. The record is from RNAcentral.